RNAcentral lists this ribosomal RNA (247 nucleotides) under uncultured Lactobacillus sp. RNAcentral's name for it is "partial 16S ribosomal RNA". It matches the Rfam family "Bacterial small subunit ribosomal RNA", at positions 116 to 355 of the family's 1533-position model. Lineage: Bacteria; Bacillati; Bacillota; Bacilli; Lactobacillales; Lactobacillaceae. The record is from RNAcentral.
CGUGGGGAACCUGCCCCAUAGUCUGGGAUACCACUUGGAAACAGGUGCUAAUACCGGAUAAGAAAGCGGAUCGCAUGAUCAGCUUUUAAAAGGCGGCGUAAGCUGUCGCUAUGGGAUGGCCCCGCGGUGCAUUAGCUAGUUGGUAAGGUAAAGGCUUACCAAGGCGAUGAUGCAUAGCCGAGUUGAGAGACUGAUCGGCCACAUUGGGACUGAGACACGGCCCAAACUCCUACGGGAGGCAGCAGCC